CCUACGGGAGGCAGCAGUGGGGAAUAUUGGGCAAUGGGCGCAAGCCUGACCCAGCAACGCCGCGUGAAGGAAGAAGGCUUUCGGGUUGUAAACUUCUUUUCUGAGGGACGAAGAAAGUGACGGUACCUCAGGAAUAAGCCACGGCUAACUACGUGCCAGCAGCCGCGGUAAUACGUAGGUGGCAAGCGUUAUCCGGAUUUAUUGGGUGUAAAGGGCGUGUAGGCGGGAAAGCAAGUCAGAUGUGAAAACUCAGGGCUCAACCCUGAGCCUGCAUUUGAAACUGUUUUUCUUGAGUGCUGGAGAGGCAAUCGGAAUUCCGUGUGUAGCGGUGAAAUGCGUAGAUAUGUGGAAGAACACCGAUGGCGAAGGCAGCCUCCUGGGACGCAACUGACGCUCAUACACGAAAGCGUGGGGAGCAAACAGGAUUAGAUACCCCAGUAGUC
Molecule: ribosomal RNA, 443 nt
Filed under: uncultured bacterium
Lineage: Bacteria
Description: partial 16S ribosomal RNA
Rfam family: Bacterial small subunit ribosomal RNA
Source: RNAcentral